Molecule: ribosomal RNA, 253 nt
Filed under: uncultured bacterium
Lineage: Bacteria
Description: partial 16S ribosomal RNA
Rfam family: Bacterial small subunit ribosomal RNA
Source: RNAcentral
UACGGAGGGUGCGAGCGUUAUCCGGAAUUACUGGGUUUAAAGGGUGCGUAGGCGGCGCUGUAAGUCAGGAGUGAAAGUUUGCGGCUCAACCGUAAAAUUGCUUUUGAUACUGCGGUGCUAGAAUUAGGAUGAGGUCAGCGGAAUGUGGCAUGUAGCGGUGAAAUGCAUAGAUAUGCCAUAGAACACCAAUUGCGAAGGCAGUUCACUAAGCUGUCAUUGACGCUGAGGCACGAAAGCGUGGGGAGCGAACAGG